Molecule: long non-coding RNA, 1303 nt
Filed under: Chloebia gouldiae (Gouldian finch)
Lineage: Eukaryota; Metazoa; Chordata; Aves; Passeriformes; Passeridae
Description: Erythrura gouldiae (Gouldian finch) lncRNA (ENSEGOG00005009658.1)
Source: RNAcentral
GAGAAAUUCUUUGUCACUCCAGGGCAGCAUCAGCCCUGGUCCCACUAAAAGCAGGAGGAAUCAUUUUAUCCUUGUUUUUGGAUGCACAUCUUGUGUUUUCUCUCUGUUGCCGACACCGUGUGGUGAAGCAGCAGCUCCCUACCUUUUCAGUGCUGCUCUCAGCUUUGUUUGUAUCUGGUAAACAAGAAACAGUAAUAUGCUGCCCUGUGGUAACUGGAUUAAGGACAAGGCCUCCCUCUUUGUUUAAUAUUCCUGAGAAAAGCUGCCAAUGAUUAAAGCAAGAGCUUCCCCUGGUUAAAUCCUGCCCAGUCCCAUGCUGGGUUUGCACACACACAAGGCUCACUCCCUGCUGGGAUCCCAGUCACUGCCCCCAGAUCAAUGUGCAGUUUAAGAUCUCACAGCCUGACCAGGACAAUCUCUUGCCUCUGAACAUGGAAAAUCAGUUUUUCAUUGUUACAGCACCAGCUCAAGGUAAUUAUGAAGUCGUGUAAUGGUUUUUAAGUUGUGCACGUGGAGGAAAUUCACUGCAGCAGCCAACACUGCUCUGCCUUCAUGGGCAACCCUGUGGGUUUGGGAUCUUGAAUUGUGGGUGUGAAAUCUCAUAGAAUCCUCUGAGGCUGAAGCAAAGACAAGGAACCUUCUGAGAUGGAAAGAGCCAGAGCAAGUUUUUGUGGGAAAAGAAAAUUAAAGAUGUAGGAUGUGGGCCAUGACAUGAAUUGGCUCCAACAGGGCCCAAGAUCCCUGUGGGGUCUGUGGCAGGGACAACUCCCAGAGCUGGACAGGGAAGGGAACCUUCACCCACACUCCCAAAAAGGGAAACAUUUAAGCAAGAGAUGCUGAAAAGAUUGGAGUUUCUGAUUUUAAGUCUCCAACUUAAAAUUGUCUUUGGAUUGCCACUGGUCCAAGUUCCAUGGACUGGGCUCUGUGGCCAGGAGUGUCCAAUCCUGCUGGAAAUGCGCCGGACCAGGAUGUCAUUUUCACUUUAUACAGCACAGGAGCCUUUCCCUUGCCCAGAGGAGCAUCCAGUGCUUCCUGAGUCCACAAAUCCCCAGGAUGGACGACAGAGAAAAUAACAGGAAUAUGGAAAUUCCCCACACUGGGAGUUUGUAGUGCUCUGGAUUACAUUUUGGAUUUAUAAUGUUAAAGGGGGUGUGUGGAAUGGCUUCAUUUUAUUGUCAUUGUUUUCACUACGCUUGUUGCUGUCACUGUUAUCCACAGUUAUCACUGCUAUCACUGUCAUCAAUAUUAAAUUAUUAUAUUUGUCUUGGUUUCCAUUAUUAAACUGUUCUGAUCUCACCACCCG